This is a long non-coding RNA of Orcinus orca (killer whale), 2137 nucleotides long. RefSeq lists it as uncharacterized. The transcript is spliced from 2 exons. The record is from RefSeq and is a predicted model, not a curated record. Lineage: Eukaryota; Metazoa; Chordata; Mammalia; Artiodactyla; Delphinidae.
AGUGGCCCUGCAGCUCCCGGACGUGCCAGGCCGUGAGGACGAAGGAUGGGCAGAGCCCCCCUCAGAAGUGCAGCGGCAGCUCCAGGACGUCCACCACAGCACAGCUGUCCCUGCCCGGAGCCCAGGGCCUGGGGCAGUUAUGGGUCCACACCAGGCACUGGACACGCGGGACAGGCAGGGACACACAGGAGAGAAGGGAUAGCAAAUCUUAAUACAGGGGCUAUACUUGGUAGUAUCACUUUUCUCUUCUUCAUUCUUUACAGAAGGUCUAAAUUUUCCACCAUGAUCCCGUGUUAUUUUUAUUUCAGAAAAAUACUUCAAAAAUGAAUAAUCAAAAAGGCCAAGCCUGAGGUAAGAUGAACAGGGAAAAUAAGAUUUCAGUUGACACUCACAAGGCUGGGAUCUUCUAAAGCAACUACACACCCAGCCCAGCCCCCAAUCGACUUUUGUUGUGGUUGUGGUGACGCAGUGCCCGAAGUUUCACUGAUCCAAUCAAUUAAAAUAAUAAGUUUGACAACAUGAAAAUUAAGACAGGAAGGUCUGAAAUGCUCUUUAAGGUUUGCUGGAAAUCUUCACUCUGGCUCAGGGUCCAGAUAAGGAUGGGUAAACAAGCUUGCCGGGUGAAAUUGAAGAUUUUAGAUUUGAGGACGUUGAUGACACUGUCCGGAAAAACAAUAAGAAGAAACUAAAUAAGUGAGCCUGCCUGGAUGACGUCUGUUUUCUGCACCAGCCACUCAUCGUUCCUGUGCUGAAGUCGUCCUGUGGAAUCCCACUAAUGGACACCUCGCAUCUGUGUCUGACUGUCCUGUGUGUUCCACACCAAGCAGGGCAUGACUUCGAGUUCCCGGAGGACAAGAGCGACCUGCCAGGCUCGUGAUGCGCAGGUGUCCAGGAGUCCAGCACGGCUCACGCAUAUUUGCUUCAAUUAAUAGAUGGGAUUGAUUCCCUAAGCUCUGCAGUGCUCCCUGGAAUCCCAUAGGAGGAUCUCGCCAUUCCCUAAGCAGUGAAGACGAGAGCAGGCCCUCUGCUGCUCUGAACCUUCCGGACAUGCCUGUGUCCACUGCAUGGUUCAAAAGGAGGACACCAGGCAGAAAGGCCAGGCUGGGCCUGGGAAGAAUGGCUGCUGGCAUUUGUGAACACUGACCACGUGUGGGCACUGGGUCCAGUGCUUUACCUCAUCAUCUCGGAAUUCAAACAAUUACAUGAAUUUCUACUCAAUUCAGCACUGAGUACUCAAUGGGAGCAUUCUACUCCCAUUUUAGAGGUGAGCAAACAGAGGGGGCGGCAGGCUGGGUGCCCUGCAUCCUUAGGUCUCACUCCCAAACCUAGGCCCACCCCUGCAGGCCAGUCUUUCCAAACCCAGUGGGGUGAUCACCCUUCUCCUUCCCAAAGCUCUGCAGGGAACUAAAUUACAGAUUCAGAAAUGUCCCAAGGAAAAUAAUGCUUCUGGCUGUUAGCUGUAGUUCUCCAUAGUUAGACACUGCAAAGACCUACACUGGUAACGAGCUAGUAAACCGGCACAUUUUCCCAUGAACUAUUUCUCCAAAUUGCAUCUAAAAAUAUGACUAUGAAUUCAAAUGAGCCUGAGAAUCUUGCGAAAUUUAUACUCAAAUGCACUGAAGUGUGGACUUAACUAUUUAUCUUAUUCACAUUUUCAGUGCUUUUAGCCACAACUAAUAGUAAUAUUGGUUGUGCGCAUUUAAUUAACAUAGAUUUACCCCGCAAACUGGCAAGGGGGUUGCUUUAAACACCCUUGGAGGUGCUCCUUUAAAAGCAAGUGUUUCGGGCUUCCCUGGUGGCGCAGUCGUUAAGAAUCCGCCUGCCAGUGCAGGAGACACGGGUGCGAGCCCUGGUCCAGGAAGAUCCCACGUGCCGCGGAGCACCUUAGCCCGUGCGUCACAACUGCUGAGCCUGCGCUCUAGAGCCCGCGAGCCACAACUACUGAGUCCAUGUGCCACAACUACUGAAGCCUGCGCGCCUAGAGCCCAUGCUCCGCAGCAAGAGAAGCCACCGCAAUGAGAAGCCCGCGCACCACAAUGAAGAGUAGCCCUCGCUCGCCGCAACUAGAGGAAGCCCGCACGCAGCAACGAAGACCCAACGCAGCCAAAAAUAAAUAAAUAAAUAAAUAAAUUUUUUU